This 299-nucleotide ribosomal RNA is filed under the name Heterosigma akashiwo. RNAcentral's name for it is "partial Bacterial small subunit ribosomal RNA". It matches the Rfam family "Bacterial small subunit ribosomal RNA", at positions 1 to 332 of the family's 1533-position model. The record is from RNAcentral. Lineage: Eukaryota; Raphidophyceae; Chattonellales; Chattonellaceae.
UUGAGAGUUUGAUCCUGGCUCAGAACGAACGCUGGCGGCAGGCCUAACACAUGCAAGUCGAGCGCACUCUUCGGAGUGAGCGGCGGACGGGUUAGUAACGCGUGGGAACAUACCCUUUUCUACGGAAUAGCCUCGGGAAACUGAGAGUAAUACCGUAUACGCCCUUCGGGGGAAAGAUUUAUCGGAGAAGGAUUGGCCCGCGUUUGAUUAGAUAGUUGGUGGGGUAAUGGCCUACCAAGUCUACGAUCAAUAGCUGGUUUGAGAGGAUGAUCAGCAACACUGGGACUGAGACACGGCCC